GUUCUUGUAGUUGAAUUACAACGGUGGUUUUUCGAGCCAUUAGUCCUGGUUGAACUCCUGGCAGGAAUC
This 69-nucleotide transfer RNA is filed under the name Neoclinus bryope. RNAcentral describes it as "tRNA-Glu". It matches the Rfam family "tRNA". From Rfam's summary of the family: Transfer RNA (tRNA) molecules are approximately 80 nucleotides in length. Their secondary structure includes four short double-helical elements and three loops (D, anti-codon, and T loops). The record is from RNAcentral. Lineage: Eukaryota; Metazoa; Chordata; Actinopteri; Blenniiformes; Labrisomidae.